RNAcentral lists this ribosomal RNA (253 nucleotides) under uncultured bacterium. RNAcentral's name for it is "partial 16S ribosomal RNA". It matches the Rfam family "Bacterial small subunit ribosomal RNA", at positions 524 to 776 of the family's 1533-position model. The record is from RNAcentral.
GACGUAGGGCGCGAGCGUUGUCCGGAUUUAUUGGGCGUAAAGAGCUCGUAGGCGGCUCGUUGCGUCAACCGUGAAAACCCGGGGCUUAACUUCGGGCUUGCGGUUGAUACGGGCAGGCUAGAGUUCGGUAGGGGAGACUGGAAUUCCUGGUGUAGCGGUGAAAUGCGCAGAUAUCAGGAGGAACACCGGUGGCGAAGGCGGGUCUCUGGGCCGAUACUGACGCUGAGGAGCGAAAGCGUGGGGAGCGAACAGG